CUCGCUGAAGCCUGAACUCGAGUAGGUCGGCAGGCCCCAAGCAAGCCAGGAAGGAGGAGGCAGCCAGGGUGGCCUCCACAGUUCUCUGCAGCAGACCCUCUGCCCAGGCCAGCCCAGUCCUUGCCAGUUCAGAAGCAAGAUGCUGCUGAAGACCAAUUUCAGGGGAGCAAUGGCAGGAGAGGUGGCAUGCCUUCAUAGUAACAUAGAAAGCUGCCUUACACUAAAUCCAACCAUUGAUCAACCUACGCAGUAUUGUCUACAUUGAUUGGCAGCAUUUCAGGUAUAAUCAUAGAUGGUCAUAGAUGUAUGAGUCAGCCCUUGGCAGAAGUUAGGCCUCCUGUUUCGGUCUGUUGUUCAUUUUAAUUUGGUUGGUUUUUGGUUCAUAUUAUGAGCUGUCAGCAUCAAAGACUGAAGGAGAGCAUUUCUCAUAGUCUUACCCACAGUGUGAAGCAAAAGCUGUUGAUUCAGGAUGCCACAACAUUAGCUUGUGUAAUGGGAUAUAGCUAACUGCCACCCAUCCCAGUGAAACCCUAUUGGUGCCAAUGAAAUCUUGCCCAUCAACCCCCAAUCCAACCCUAACUCCUUAAGCAAUGUUGGUGAGGUUAGGCUUUGGGAGGCAGACCCACAGAAUGGCAUGAACAACAGGAAUGGCUUGGACUCUUCAGAUCACAAUGUACGGGGCCCAAUCUGGAUUGUGACUGUGACACAGAAGCAGAGAUGCUCCUGAACACAAAAGGUGCUUUUUUCCUGCCUGGAGUUCCCAUCCUCCUCCUAAUGACGGCCCAUGGAAUAGCUACUGGUCCAUGGUGAAGCAACAGAAGAUGAACUGUUGACCCAGGUAUACAGGGCAGGACACAAGGGAAAUGCAUACCAGGACUGUCACAGCAAGUGCACACAUGUUGGAGGGAAAGCAGAGAUUCCCAUCAGACAUGAGUGAACAUGAUGGAUGGGACUCCCACCCACCCACUGGCUUUUACUCCAACUGUCUCUGCUAAUGUAUUGCUCUCCUGUUCUGUUCACAGGUUGCUUUCAGAUUAUACAUUACAGAAAGUUUCUUCCACAGUAGAGGAUUGACUUCAAUUACAGAACCAUUUUCUCCAUUCAGUCUAUUUCAUCUCAGGAGAUGGGAUGGUAUUUUGAAGAGAUUCCGUUGUUUGCUCUGCCCCCUAAUAUUUCUUCAGGAAACUGGAAUCUACAGCUCACAAUCUGUAAGGAUGGCCCAGAACUUUAAAUGGCAGUCAUGUCUGAUGCAGGGACUUGGGCGUCACAUUGGUGUUUCAUGGUAUUAAUACAUAAGCUGUGAACCACAGAUGCAGGUUCUUAAUGAUGAUAAUGUAUGUCUAAUAAGGAACUGUGUUCAGUCAGGCUUCCAGGUGUGAGUUUUAAAAUAUGCAAACCUUUGGUGUGGUGUGGGAUUUGAAAUCAGGGGAGGGCUCCCCAGUCAUAGUCUAACACUAACCACUAAAACUGUAACAGAUCGGAAACUGAGGCUUGUUAACUUUAUUGUACAAAGUUACAAGGUUUAUUUAACUAUUACCAAAUCAUAAACAGUCCUACUCUGAGUGAAAGAUCAUCCUAACAGAAAAAUAAAUCACAACCAUUCAGUAAGAAAUACAAACUGAUCAAUCAGUUUACAGAACUGAUGAUUGACAAACAUUCUAAAUUCCACCAUUAGCCUACACACAUACAAUACCAUGGCAAGAACAAAGACAAUGCAUAUUCAUGCAAAUGCCAACAAAAAUAUAUCAUGCUGGCUAUUGUUGCAGGGUACACAGUGAUGGCAUUACUACCUCUGAUUGUUCAAAAGCUUCAGUCUGUGCCCUCCGAUCACAAGAUUCCCUCAGGCUGAGUGUCAUCAUCCCGUAGAGAGAAUGUAAAAUUUCAAAGCACAAAGGUUUUUGGUUUUGUUUUAAUCAUCUGCCAUCAAAUGCACACUGCAAGUAGUUCAUCACCAUUUUUCUGUACCAAUCAUGGACAAUGGUAAAUAAUAAAUUCCUUUGAAAGAAUGUGUUAAAUAAAAGGUACAAUUCCCACAA
Molecule: long non-coding RNA, 2036 nt
Organism: Hemicordylus capensis (graceful crag lizard)
Lineage: Eukaryota; Metazoa; Chordata; Lepidosauria; Squamata; Cordylidae
Exons: 6
Source: RefSeq, a predicted model, not a curated record